Molecule: ribosomal RNA, 512 nt
Filed under: uncultured bacterium
Lineage: Bacteria
Description: partial 16S ribosomal RNA
Rfam family: Bacterial small subunit ribosomal RNA
Source: RNAcentral
GAUGAACGCUGGCGGCGUGCCUAAUACAUGCAAGCCGAACGAAACUUCUUUAUCACCGAGUGCUUGCACUCACCGAUAAAGAGUUGAGUGGCGAACGGGUGAGUAACACGUGGGCAACCUGCCCAAAAGAGGGGGAUAACACUUGGAAACAGGUGCUAAUACCGCAUAACCAUAGUUACCGCAUGGUAACUAUGUAAAAGGUGGCUAUACUACCGCUUUUGGAUGGGCCCGCGGCGCAUUAGCUAGUUGGUAGGGUAAAGGCUUACCAAGGCAAUGAUGCGUAGCCGAAUUGAGAGGUUGAUCGGCCACAUUGGGACUGAGACACGGCCCAAACUCCUACGGGAGGCAGCAGUAGGGAAUCUUCCACAAUGGGCGAAAGCCUGAUGGAGCAACGCCGCGUGGGUGAAGAAGGUCUUCGGAUCGUAAAACCCUGUUGUUAGAGAAGAAAGUGCGUGAGAGUAACUGUUCACGUUUCGACGGUAUCUAACCAGAAAGCCACGGCUAACUACGUG